AAUGGGGGCAACCCUGAUCCAGCCAUGCCGCGUUGUGUGAAGAAGGGCCUUUUGGUUGUAAAGCACUUUAAGCGAGGAGGAGGCUACUUAGAUUAAUACUCUGAGAUAGUGGACGUUACUCGCAGAAUAAGCACCGGCUAACUCUGUGCCAGCAGCCGCGGUAAUACAGAGGGUGCAAGCGUUAAUCGGAUUUACUGGGCGUAAAGCGUGCGUAGGUGGCCAAUUAAGUCAAAUGUGAAAUCCCCGAGCUUAACUUGGGAAUUGCAUUCGAUACUGGUUGGCUAGAGUAUGGGAGAGGAUGGUAGAAUUCCAGGUGUAGCGGUGAAAUGCGUAGAGAUCUGGAGGAAUACCGAUGGCGAAGGCAGCCAUCUGGCCUAAUACUGACACUGAGGUACGAAAGCAUGGGGAGCAAACANGAUUAGAUACCCUGGUAGUCCAUGCCGUAAACGAUGUCUACUAGCCGUUGGGGCCUUUGAGGCUUUAGUGGCGCAGCUAACGCGAUAAGUAGACCGCCUGGGGAGUAC
Molecule: ribosomal RNA, 524 nt
Filed under: bacterium T-2-0-3D
Lineage: Bacteria
Description: bacterial SSU rRNA
Rfam family: Bacterial small subunit ribosomal RNA
Source: RNAcentral